AGCUCAAUGGCAGAGCACUUGCCUAGCAAGCAUGAGCCCCUGGAUUCAAUUCCCAG
Molecule: transfer RNA, 56 nt
Filed under: Urocitellus parryii (Arctic ground squirrel)
Lineage: Eukaryota; Metazoa; Chordata; Mammalia; Rodentia; Sciuridae
Also listed under: 2 other names
Description: Spermophilus parryii (Arctic ground squirrel) tRNA
Rfam family: tRNA
About the family: Transfer RNA (tRNA) molecules are approximately 80 nucleotides in length.
Source: Rfam by way of RNAcentral